CCUACGGGUGGCAGCAGUGAGGAAUAUUGGUCAAUGGGCGAGAGCCUGAACCAGCCAAGUCGCGUGAAGGAUGAAGGAUCUAUGGUUUGUAAACUUCUUUUAUAUGGGAAUAAAGUGAGGAACGUGUUCCUUUUUGUAUGUACCAUAUGAAUAAGCAUCGGCUAACUCCGUGCCAGCAGCCGCGGUAAUACGGAGGAUGCGAGCGUUAUCCGGAUUUAUUGGGUUUAAAGGGUGCGUAGGUGGUUAAUUAAGUCAGCUGUGAAAGUCCGCGGCUCAACCGUGGAAUUGCAGUUGAAACUGGAGGCCUUGAGUGCACACAGGGAUGCCGGAAUUCAUGGUGUAGCGGUGAAAUGCUUAGAUAUCAUGAAGAACUCCGAUCGCGAAGGCAAGUGUCCGGGGUGCAACUGACGCUGAGGCUCGAAAGUGCGGGUAUCAAACAGGAUUAGAUACCCCAGUAGUC
This 460-nucleotide ribosomal RNA is filed under the name uncultured bacterium. RNAcentral describes it as "partial 16S ribosomal RNA". It matches the Rfam family "Bacterial small subunit ribosomal RNA", at positions 338 to 795 of the family's 1533-position model. The record is from RNAcentral.